AGUGAACGCUGGCGGUAGGCCUAACACAUGCCAGUCGAACGGCAGCACAGUAAGAGCUUGCUCUUACGGGUGGCGAGUGGCGGACGGGUGAGGAAUACAUCGGAAUCUACUUUUUCGUGGGGGAUAACGUAGGGAAACUUACGCUAAUACCGCAUACGACCUACGGGUGAAAGCAGGGGAUCUUCGGACCUUGCGCGAUUGAAUGAGCCGAUGUCGGAUUAGCUAGUUGGCGGGGUAAAGGCCCACCAAGGCGACGAUCCGUAGCUGGUCUGAGAGGAUGAUCAGCCACACUGGAACUGAGACACGGUCCAGACUCCUACGGGAGGCAGCAGUGGGGAAUAUUGGACAAUGGGCGCAAGCCUGAUCCAGCCAUACCGCGUGGGUGAAGAAGGCCUUCGGGUUGUAAAGCCCUUUUGUUGGGAAAGAAAAGCAGCAGGUUAAUACCCCGCUGUUAUGACGGUACCCAAAGAAUAAGCACCGGCUAACUUCGUG
RNAcentral lists this ribosomal RNA (492 nucleotides) under uncultured bacterium. RNAcentral's name for it is "partial 16S ribosomal RNA". It matches the Rfam family "Bacterial small subunit ribosomal RNA", at positions 29 to 507 of the family's 1533-position model. The record is from RNAcentral.